Molecule: transfer RNA, 97 nt
Filed under: Burkholderia gladioli
Lineage: Bacteria; Pseudomonadati; Pseudomonadota; Betaproteobacteria; Burkholderiales; Burkholderiaceae
Also listed under: 1 other name
Description: tRNA-Phe
Source: RNAcentral
CGAAAUGCGGAGCCGCCUGCGGCGCGGCGGGCCGUUCGAAAUGCGGCGGCUGCGGUUCGAAAUGCGGCUGGGGCCGUUCGAUGCGAGGUGCCUCGAC